CUUUACUGCAUCUUAACUCGGGUGCUGUCAAAAUUCGUAAUCUCAUCCGCAACUUGGAUAAGACCACCCUGUCUAAUUCAUGUCUCGUAGGAGCUGUCGCCUGGCGUCCACAGGGUACUACAACUCGGAUGAUGAAUCCGACUCGAGUACCGUCACUAACAUUUCCUACCGUGAGCACUCCGUCAAGGUAUUCAAGAAGAAGGUCGGGGCCCGCAAGGCUACGACUCGUGCCACCAGAGCCAACAACAGCAUGGCCAGCCCAAGCAGUAUACAAUCCCCUUCCACCACAGCAGUCCGCCGACCUUCCUUAAGCACCCAGACGGAUGUGACCAUGGGGAAUGUGACCUACGCCACCCCUAGGGUAACCGCAAGACCCUCCCUGAACGCUGCAUCUUCUACCACAAGCCAGACUGCCACCCGCUCCCCGCCUCUGCCGCCUCCAGAAAGGUUCCGCAGCACCGCCCAGGCUGUCGUAUACCUUCGACCGGACCACCAAAAGGAGCAGGAGAAGAACAGCAUAGACAGUUCCGGGUACUCCUCCUCUGAAGGCAUCAGCCUCAAACCACCAACACCUACCACGACCACUAAGACAACUACUACAAGCAAUAGUGCUAGCGUCAGCAAAGUCAAAAGUACCACUGUGGCUCCCCGUGUUGAAUACAGACAGCGGAUCAAAAACACCCUCUGUGGUGUUAAGGUGUCAUUAUCAACAUUGACUGCAAAGGCAAAGCAGCUGACCACUUUAGCGAACGGAUCAUUAAACAGUGCCAAAACAAGAAAAACUUGCAUUGCCAUCAUCCUCAUCUUUCUUGUAGCUGCCUGUGUUAAGUUCCUCCCUCCCUUGUUGCCCCCUCUGUUCACCCUUUCGGAUGCCACAAAGCUCCACAUUGUUAGGUUUUUGGCUUGGCAAUCUGACAUGGAGUGCACGGGAAACAAUGAGGUAGACGGGAGCUGGUGCAAAGUCAAGGACACAUUGCCUACUGAUAUGGAAGCAAAGAUGCAGCAUCUUCUGGAAGAUCUGCAACAGAAACAGGAGCUCCUCUACAAGAUCAAGGAGCAAUUCGAGGUUGACUUGCAGACCAUGAGAGAUGACGUGAAGGUGGUGGAGUCCAAUAGUGGGCUGCAUCUUGACCGGGAGGUCAUGGUACUGGGCAAGAAAAUGGACGAUCAGAAACGAGAUUUUCACGAAUCUCUCUCGGGUCUCGGCGGCAGAAUGAAAGCCAUAGAGACCCAGAUUGCUGAGUUAUCCAAGGAACUGCUGUCCAUCCAGUCUCAACCUAAUGCGAUGCCUUGUCCGGACAUCCCGGUCCAAAAACAUCUCACGCCAGAACUCCAGCAGGCCAUGGAGAAGUGGCUCAGUGAUCGCAUCCGGGCGCAGAAUGCAGUCAGCCUACGAAACAAAGGAAUGUCUUCUUCAUGCGCGCAGCCCAUUGCUAACGAAAUGGCUGACUUUGCACUGGAGACUCAAGGUGCCAGUGUGAUCAGCACCCGCUGUUCUGAAACCUAUCGCACCCGCUCAGCAUGUCUCAUUUUGUUUGGAAUCCCUUUGUGGUACCCGACAGAGAGCCCCCGCACCGUCAUCCGGGGCGAUACAACUCUGCUUCCAGGAAAAUGUUGGGCCUUUCACGGUGCCCACGGGUCCCUUGUCAUCGCCUUGUCUCACCCUAUUAGGAUAACCCAUGUGACAAUUGACCACGUGCCGCGUCAAAACACCCCCACGGGUCGUAUCGACUCUGCACCCAAGGAGUUCGCGGUCUAUGGGAUGAAGGACGAGGUAGAGGAUGGAACACUUCUGGGAUCGUUCAUGUACGACGAGGAUGGCGAGCCCACGCAGACAUUUGAGCUGCCCCCAAGUGACGAGAUCUACCGUGUGGUGGAGCUUCGCGUCAUUAGCAACUGGGGUCAAGUGGAGUACACGUGCCUCUACCGUUUCCGAGUACACGGCGCCAUGGCAACGGCUACAUGAUGGAGUGGUGAGCCCCACCACUUCAGGCUGCACUGAUGCUUCUUUGAAAAGACGAUGGCCGUCCAAUGAAAAGCAUGACAUUUAUGUCCAUCCUCCGAGGAAACAUAACCGGGGUACAAAAGGAAGUGUUGAGGCGCCAGCGGUGUGCUGAAACGUCCGUCCCCUGAAGACGGCGACCCCAGCAACGGGAUCAACUUAGCGUGGGCGUAAUCAAUCUCAAAUCCUUCAAAGAUAAGUCCCACACCCCAUGCCUCCAAACUCUUUUUCAGAAGAUGAGACACUUUACGGGCGGCCAGCACCAGCCCCUCAUAGUCGCUAUCUCCGAGUUUGAAUAUGUCUGAGGGCAAAGGACGGCGUGGGACUAGCACGGUGAAGCCAGGUGAGUUGGGAAAUGGGGUGAGGAAUGAAACGUGGUUCUCGUCCUCCCAAAGCCGCCACUGCGACUCUUCACCACGGAUGAUGCGCGGAAAGAGACCCGGGUCAGAUUGGUCUUCACCCAGAAACGUCAGGUUAGGCGACGCAUUCGGGUUAGGGAGCUCCAUGCGAAUCUUGGUCUGGAUUUCAUUAAGGCGGGUGUCGCUCCAACGAGGCGCUGUCUUGGAGGUGCAGUAUCCCGGAUCGUG
Corythoichthys intestinalis (scribbled pipefish) is the source of this 2589-nucleotide RNA transcript. It is a transcript of the gene named Sad1 and UNC84 domain containing 2, with no coding region annotated. The record is from RefSeq and is a predicted model, not a curated record. NCBI's taxonomy places the organism in Eukaryota, Metazoa, Chordata, Actinopteri, Syngnathiformes, Syngnathidae. The transcript is spliced from 17 exons.